AACGAACGCUGGCGGCAUGCCUAACACAUGCAAGUCGAACGAGACCUUCGGGUCUAGUGGCGCACGGGUGCGUAACGCGUGGGAACCUGCCCUUAGGUUCGGAAUAACUCCCCGAAAGGGGUGCUAAUACCGGAUAAUGUCUUCGGACCAAAGAUUUAUCGCCUUUGGAUGGGCCCGCGUUGGAUUAGCUCGUUGGUAGGGUAAAAGCCUACCAAGGCGACGAUUCAUAGCUGGUCUGAGAGGAUGAUCAGCCACACUGGGACUGAGACACGGCCCAGACUCCUACGGGAGGCAGCAGUGGGGAAUAUUGGACAAUGGGCGAAAGCCUGAUCCAGCAAUGCCGCGUGAGUGAUGAAGGCCUUAGGGUUGUAAAGCUCUUUUACCCGGGAUGAUAAUGACAGUACCGGGAGAAUAAGCUCCGGCUAACUCCGUG
Molecule: ribosomal RNA, 433 nt
Filed under: uncultured bacterium
Lineage: Bacteria
Description: partial 16S ribosomal RNA
Rfam family: Bacterial small subunit ribosomal RNA
Source: RNAcentral